UCAGCAUGACAUGGCACUAUAUCGGGUUGUACGACUGAGUGGGAAGAUGUUCAUAUAGCGGAGAACACAGAUCAACAUUGCCACACACGAGAAGAAUACUGGGCGGGUCUACACUACAGAUGGAUCUGACUCGACCUGGUUGGAGUGGCAGGCUGAAACACAAUGCCUUUUCCCCUCUGGUGAACCACACCCUUUUCUCCCCAGGACUACUAGCGUCCUGGCUGGCAAACAAGAAAGGGGCGGGUUCCUAU
This is a long non-coding RNA of Salmo salar (Atlantic salmon), 251 nucleotides long. RefSeq lists it as uncharacterized. NCBI's taxonomy places the organism in Eukaryota, Metazoa, Chordata, Actinopteri, Salmoniformes, Salmonidae. The record is from RefSeq and is a predicted model, not a curated record.